ACUCAAUUUAGAAAAUGCUUACUGAUGCUCCUGAAAAGAAGAUACAAACUUUCUCAAUAAGAAAACUGUUGCAGGAACUAAAAAAGGAAAAGAAAUAAAAGCACUUAGUACUUAGUAGGCUCUGAGCUUUCUUCUUUCCUCUGCAUUUUACUUCUCUCAAUCCUGUGUAAUCGUCUCCCAUCUUCCAUCUCUUCCUGGUCCAUCGCAAAACCUUAAUGAGUUAAUGACCUUGCUAUCACCAGCUGCUUUCUGGGACCCAUAGUCACCACCCUGCAUUUCAUGGUUCACAAUAGAAGAGCUUUUGCAGAUGUUCAGCCAUAUGAAAUGAUUUUUUUUCCUUUUCAUGUGGGGUUAUUUAAGGAUUCUUCAUGAGGCUAACCUCUUGUUUCUGACUCUUUGACUGGUUUAAAAAUAACCCCCUUUUUGGGUUUUGGUACUUGAGGGGGCUUGUAGCUGAUCUACUGUUAUCAUUUUUCUUUUGGCCAUAAAUUAUGUGGUCCCUCUCCUUGGGCUUCUUUCUCUAUUAUGGGAUGCAUCUUGCUUUUCCUUCACCUGUCUGCACUGCUGAAACUCAAAGGAAUGAUACUAAUGGGCUUGAACAUU
RNAcentral lists this long non-coding RNA (603 nucleotides) under Elaeis guineensis (African oil palm). RNAcentral's name for it is "long non-coding RNA (EGUI_LNC006372)". Lineage: Eukaryota; Viridiplantae; Streptophyta; Magnoliopsida; Arecales; Arecaceae. The record is from RNAcentral.